This 496-nucleotide ribosomal RNA is filed under the name uncultured bacterium. RNAcentral describes it as "partial 16S ribosomal RNA". It matches the Rfam family "Bacterial small subunit ribosomal RNA", at positions 28 to 507 of the family's 1533-position model. The record is from RNAcentral.
GAUGAACGCUGGCGGCGUGCCUAAUACAUGCAAGUCGAGCGAACGGACGAGAAGCUUGCUUCUCUGAUGUUAGCGGCGGACGGGUGAGUAACACGUGGAUAACCUACCUAUAAGACUGGGAUAACUUCGGGAAACCGUAGCUAAUACCGGAUAAUAUUUUGAACCGCAUGGUUCAAAAGUAAAAGACGGUCUUGCUGUCACUUAUAGAUGGAUCCGCGCUGCAUUAGCUAGUUGGUAAGGUAACGGCUUACCAAGGCAACGAUGCAUAGCCGACCUGAGAGGGUGAUCGGCCACACUGGAACUGAGACACGGUCCAGACUCCUACGGGAGGCAGCAGUAGGGAAUCUUCCGCAAUGGGCGAAAGCCUGACGGAGCAACGCCGCGUGAGUGAUGAAGGUCUUCGGAUCGUAAAACUCUGUUAUUAGGGAAGAACAUAUGUGUAAGUAACUGUGCACAUCUUGACGGUACCUAUCAGAAAGCCACGGCUAACUACGUG